This 1273-nucleotide long non-coding RNA is filed under the name Sus scrofa (pig). Its description in RNAcentral is "lncRNA (ENSSSCG00030056204.1)". Lineage: Eukaryota; Metazoa; Chordata; Mammalia; Artiodactyla; Suidae. The record is from RNAcentral.
UUUUUUUUUUUUUCUCACAGUUCUGGAGGCCAAAAGUCCAAUAUCAUUAUCAGAGAGCCAAAGUCAAGGUGUUGGCAAGGCCAUACCCCCUCCAGAGCCUCUAGGAGAAAAUUCGUUUCUUGGCUCCAUCUCUUGAUGGCUGCUGGGGCUCCUGGGCUGUGGCUACAUCAUUUAGAUCGCUGUCUCUGUGAGCAUAUGACUUUCUCCUCUUAUACUCCGGGUAAUCUUCCUCGGCCUCUCCUCUAUUAAGAACACUUGUGAUUGCAUUUAGGACCCACCUGAUAAUCUAGGAUAAUCUCCCCAACUCAAGAUUCUUAAUCACACUGCAAAGAUCCUCUUUUUUUGUUUUGUUUUUUGUUUUUUGAAUAAUAAUAUGAUUUAUUAUUUACUUAUUAUUAAUUUACCAGAUUACAGUUGGGCAAAUAGUCUCACUCAGUUUAUAAUAUAAUCUUCUGAGUAUAUCUAGACUUUAUUUUUUUUACUUUUUUAUUUUCUUUUUUUAUUACUCAAAUGAAUUUAUCACAUCUGUAGUUGUAAUAAUGAUCAUAACAAUCCAAUUUCACAGGAUUUCCAUCCCAUAACCCAAGCACAUCCCCCCAACCCCAAACUGUCUCCUCCAGAGACCAUAAGUUUUUCAAUGUUUGUGAGUCAGCAUCUGUUCUGCAAAGAAGUUCAGUCUGUCCUUUUUUCUUGUCAAAGAUCCUCUUUCCAUAUAAGGUAACAUUUAUAGGUUCCAGGGAUUAGGACCUGAUAGCUUUGGGAGAUCUGCUUCAGCCUAUCCCACGCAUAUAGCCUACAAUACAGCAACAUACUCCUGGGUAGUUUCCUAAAGAAACUCUCACACAUGUACAUCAGAGGACAAAUACAAGAAUAUUCACUGCAACACUGUUUACAAAAACAAAAAAACUGGAAACAACACAAACAUCCACAAAACAGAUAUACUGUGAUGUAUUCAUAUAAUUGCAGAGCAAUGAAAAUGAAAGAAGUAGGGCUACGUACAUCAACAUGGGAGAAUCCUAUAACACGUGGAGAUAAAAAAAGUCAAAAAAUACCUAUGGGAGUUCCCGUCGUGGCGCAUGGAAACAAAUCUGACUAGGAACCAUGGGGUUGCGGGUUCGAUCCCUGGCCUCGUUCAGUGGGUUAAGGAUACAGCGUUGCCGUGAGCUGUGGUGUAGGUCGCAGACACAGCUCAGAUCUGGUGUUGCUGUGGUGCUGGUGUAGGCCGGCAGCUGUAGCUCCAAUUGGACCCCUAGCCUGGGAAUCUCCAUAUGCC